UCGGGAAUUUUGGGCAAUGGGCGAAAGCCUGACCCAGCAACGCCGCGUGAGGGAUGAAGUAUUUCGGUAUGUAAACCUCGAAAGAAUGGGAGGAAUAAAUGACGGUACCAUUUAUAAGCUCCGGCUAACUACGUGCCAGCAGCCGCGGUAAUACGUAGGGAGCAAGCGUUGUUCGGAUUUACUGGGCGUAAAGGGCGCGUAGGCGGCGCGGUAAGUCACUUGUGGAAUCUCUGGGCUUAACUCAGAACGGCCAAGUGAUACUGCUGUGCUAGAGUGCGGAAGAGGCAACCGGAAUUCUUGGUGUAGCGGUGAAAUGCGUAGAUAUCAAGAGGAACACCUGAGGCGAAGGCGGGUUGCUGGGCCGACACUGACGCUGAUGCGCGAAAGCCAGGG
Molecule: ribosomal RNA, 393 nt
Filed under: uncultured bacterium
Lineage: Bacteria
Description: bacterial SSU rRNA
Rfam family: Bacterial small subunit ribosomal RNA
Source: RNAcentral